UACGUAGGGUGCGAGCGUUGUCCGGAAUUAUUGGGCGUAAAGGGCUCGUAGGCGGUUUGUCGCGUCGGGAGUGAAAACCAUGAGCUUAACUCAUGGCUUGCUUUCGAUACGGGCAGACUAGAGGCAUGCAGGGGAGAACGGAAUUCCUGGUGUAGCGGUGAAAUGCGCAGAUAUCAGGAGGAACACCAGUGGCGAAGGCGGUGCUCUGGGCCGGUACUGACGCUGAGGAGCGAAAGCGUGGGGAGCAAACAGG
RNAcentral lists this ribosomal RNA (253 nucleotides) under uncultured bacterium. RNAcentral describes it as "partial 16S ribosomal RNA". It matches the Rfam family "Bacterial small subunit ribosomal RNA", at positions 524 to 776 of the family's 1533-position model. The record is from RNAcentral.